GAUAAAAGACUACUUUCGUCAUGAAAGAAGUUUAAAAGGACGGCGUAAGCUGUCGCUAAAGGGAUGGACCUGCGAUGCAUUAGCUAGUUGGUAAGGUAACGGCUUACCAAGGCGAUGAUGCAUAGCCCGAGUUGAGAGACUGAUCGGCCACAUUGGGACUGAGACACGGCCCAAACUCCUACGGGAGGCAGCAGUAGGGAAUCUUCCACAAUGGACGAAAGUCUGAUGGAGCAACGCCGCGUGAGUGAAGAAGGUUUUCGGAUCGUAAAGCUCUGUUGUUGGUGAAGAAGGAUAGAGGUAGUAACUGGCCUUUAUUUGACGGUAAUCAACCAGAAAGUCACGGCUAACUACGUGCCAGCAGCCGCGGUAAU
This 371-nucleotide ribosomal RNA is filed under the name uncultured Lactobacillus sp. RNAcentral's name for it is "bacterial SSU rRNA". It matches the Rfam family "Bacterial small subunit ribosomal RNA", at positions 172 to 524 of the family's 1533-position model. The record is from RNAcentral. Lineage: Bacteria; Bacillati; Bacillota; Bacilli; Lactobacillales; Lactobacillaceae.